AGCGAACGCUGGCGGCAGGCUUAACACAUGCAAGUCGAGCGGGCAUCCUUGUGGUGUCAGCGGCAGACGGGUGAGUAACGCGUGGGAACGUGCCCUUCGGUUCGGAAUAACUCAGGGAAACUUGAGCUAAUACCGGAUACGUGCGAGAGCAGAAAGGUUUAUCUGCCGAAGGAUCGGCCCGCGUCUGAUUAGCUAGUUGGUGAGGUUAUGGCUCACCAAGGCGACGAUCAGUAGCUGGUCUGAGAGGAUGAUCAGCCACACUGGGACUGAGACACGGCCCAGGCUCCUACGGGAGGCAGCAGUGGGGAAUAUUGGACAAUGGGGGCAACCCUGAUCCAGCCAUGCCGCGUGAGUGAUGACGGCCUUAGGGUUGUAAAGCUCUUUUCUCCGGGACGAUAAUGACGGUACCGGAGGAAUAAGCCCCGGCUAACUUCGUG
This 437-nucleotide ribosomal RNA is filed under the name uncultured bacterium. Its description in RNAcentral is "partial 16S ribosomal RNA". It matches the Rfam family "Bacterial small subunit ribosomal RNA", at positions 29 to 507 of the family's 1533-position model. The record is from RNAcentral.